AAGGAUACUUCCAAAUCACUUGGACCUGAUGUUUUAAGUCUCUUAAAAGUUAUUUUUUGUUGCUAGUUUAAAUGCUCUUUUCUAUUUAAUUGGCAGGUAUUUUAUCACUCUUGGGCUUAUGUAUAAAGGGAAAAUUAUGAGUGGAUCAAAUGGGUGAAAGUAUCCCUAAACCUUCUUCAGAUUCAGAGUCACUUUGUGAUUCAAAAUCAUCAGGUAGGUAAUGUUUCAAACAGCACUGCCCUCCGUGUCAUCAGGAUUAUAGGUGAUGCAGCAGUUCUUAAAAGAAUCCUUAAAAAGAACCGAGACAUGUUUGCUGAAUGUUCCUUCUGCCUUUGCGGUGAUGCAGAGCUGGCCUCCUGUUGAUGCCUGCUUUCAGAGUAUUGCUAAAUACCUCUGAUUUGGCAAUUCUGUCACCCUUUCUGCACAACCAUUUGAUUCCUGGGGACUCAAAAAAAUGAUCUCCGCUUCUAGGAUUUUCUUCCCAGCCACUGACACCCAUCCUGGGAGUUGUGAUGCUGAAUCUGCCCACCACAACACUGCCUGAGUGAUCGAACACGCAAGCCUGAUAUUGUCAACCCCACUUUAAAUUCUUCUUUGGCUUCUACUGCAUUUUGGGGAAAUGACCCUCACUUCCAGCCCAGCAUACAAGGUUCAUCUCCACCUGGAUGCAUUUAAUAAAAGCAGACCAAAGCUACUGAAGUUCUCACUCUGCAAAGGCAGGUAUGUUGGGCUGCAGGAAGGAGGUGGCAGGCCGUGAGCCACAUGGGCCGGAAGUGAUGAUGGACGACAUGAAUGGAGGCCGUUCUGGAAGAAGAUGAUCAUGGGCAGAGAGGGAGAGCACACGAGGUUGGGGCUGGACUUCAAACCACAGUCCCCCGGGUUCUAGCACCCUUCAAUAAGAAAAUGGAUGGGGAGAAAAAAAAUUCCUUCUUCACAUCUCCCACGUGAAUGUGCCCAGCCCCUCUCACAUUCCAGGCCUGUGAUAGAUACAGUACGAGGACAAAGACAGAAGUACAACUUAGGUCAAAGAACUAGGCCUUGAGUGCCAUACCCAGCAGCCUAGACUUCAUUCAGGGGGCAGGUGACAUGAGCCCCGCUGUGGGAGGGAAAGCCGGCUCUCCCCCGACCUGGAAGCUUGGUCUGUGCGGGGAGAAAGGGGCAUCCUGUGGCAUGGGCUGCUGCCCCCUGCCCAGCCUGAUGGAGCAGGGCCUCUACCAGCCCCUAUCCAAACCCCCUACCCCCACCCCCCGUACUGCUCUCUCAAGGCUGAAGAGUCAAUAAACUCAGUUUCUCCCAGAAAGAGUAUGUCUUCGGGAAGGCCCUGGGGAAUACGUCUGCAAAGUUUAAUUUCUGUUGAAGGAUCCUGAGUAGGCAAAGAAUAUGGAAGGAGGGGGAGCGUGAAGAGGAGCGGAAGGAGCAGACAUCUGUUUGCUGAGAAUUUAACUUAUACCAGGACUUUCUGGGUGCAUGGUAACCUCAUUCGAUGCUUGCAACAGCCUUCUGAGGUGGGGAGAAAAUGAGAGCGUGGGUGGAACUCGGAAGAGACCAGGGAGGCCCUGUGAUCUCCGAUGUUUGAUUCGUUCGGCAAAUAAUUAUCAAGUGACCCUGGGUGCUGGGCAUCGACCGAGGUGCUAGGGACCCAGCAGUGCCCAUGACAUCAUCCCUUUCCUCAAAGACCUUUCCGUCUCGUGUUGGAAACAGGCAUAUUGACAGGACUUUAGAGCCCUUUUUCCAGUGCGUUAACCUCCAUUCAUGUUUCUGCCUGAUCACCUCCAGGAAUCAAGAGACUUUACCUCUCAAGAAACUUAUCAAACAUCCUUAAGCAUAUGAUAAAUAUUUCUUUUCCUUUUUCAUUAUGUCUUAAAAAUACGAAUGCAUCUUACAAGUGACACAGGAAUUCACGUAGCUGAUUUUUUCAUUAACAGCAAAAACAAAGAAUACAAUGUUAUUCAAUCAAUGAUGUGGAUCGAUAGAGCCUUAAAUCUGGGCAUUGGGCAAGGACUGUGAGAAACAGAAAUGAACCAGGGCGCCUAGCCUCAAAAGGCUCACAAAAUGGGAUCCUCUUACAAUGGGCCUAAUGUCAUAUUCGCAGUGAGAAAUAACAGGAAAUAAUUGUACGUGAAACCACUGAGAAGGCUUUCCAGGGAGCAUGUGCUUUCAAGGGCGGAUGGAGUGAGGGACUUGAGGGCACAUGAGGAGACUCUCGCAGCCAGAGGGAACAGAGCAUGCAAAGGGAUUAAGAACUUGUCUGGUACGUUUGGGGAAGAGCCACAGAAUC
Herpailurus yagouaroundi (jaguarundi) is the source of this 2278-nucleotide long non-coding RNA. RefSeq lists it as uncharacterized. The record is from RefSeq and is a predicted model, not a curated record. The transcript has 3 exons. Lineage: Eukaryota; Metazoa; Chordata; Mammalia; Carnivora; Felidae.